CCACAAAAAGGAAGAGGAAGAGGAGCAGAUCAGUGUGGCAGAGGUAGGAUCAUAGAAUGGUUUGAGUUGGAAGGGACCUUAAAGAUCAUCUAAUUCCAACCCCCCUGCCAUGUGUAGGGACACCUCCCACUGGCUCAGGCUGCCCAAGGCUCAUCCAACCUGGCCUUGAACACCUCCAGGGAUGGGGCAGCCACAGCUUCCCUGGGCAACCUGUGUCAGUGCCUCACCACUCUCAUGGUGAAGAAAUUCUUCCUAAUAUCUAGGCUAAAUCUGCCCCUCUCCAACUUACAGCCAUUCCCCACAGUCCUACCACUACGUGACAGGAUGAAGCAGAUGUUCCAAGCAGCAAGGCAUAGCAUGCGUUGUGGAGUUACAGGUCCAUGGAGGCAGCUGCAGACUCAGUGGGAGGAUUGGAAUGUGAGUGCAAACCUGAACUGGGAGGUGCUGAUGAUAGGGGAUAUAAAUGCUGUCUCCUGCUCCCUUCCCUGGGUAAGUCCUGCAUGUGCCAGUGAAGUCCAACUUGUCACUUCCAUCCUCUGACACGCAACACCCACUGCUUUACCAGUGUACAUAUGUAUUCAUUACAAUCUGGGGCACUAAGAGAUGAUGGCUGUGUGAGGUUAAACUUCCAAAUACAGUACAUAUCAUUUUCUGGAAAAAAAAACACUGAAAUUCUGUGAUGGCUUCUAUAAUUAAGAAUUCCUUGUUUUUGAGGUUCACGAAGUACCUUCCCAAAGCGAAAGGGCUUUAUUUGCAGGUCAUCCACAGUGGAAACCUGCUUUAGAGGAGAAAGAAGCGGUGUGAAUCAGAGAGAUGACUCACGCUAAACUGCAGUUCAGCUCUUUUUCCUUUUCAAUCUCCUUUAUGGAUUUUAAGAGGUAUUUCUGCCUGUGAGUAACAAAAGGCGGGGGGUGGUGGUGGUUGUCAUUUAGCAUUGUCUUCUGCUCUUGGGCAGAGCUGUUAUUUGGUUUUUUUUGGGAUGAGAAGGGGCAGUUCUUCUUGGCUUUGGGGAAGGAAAAUGGACAAAGAUGAAACUAGAAUGGAGUUCUUGGGGAUGGGGGCUACCAAACCAGUGUAUCCUCUGGUUCAGUGGGGAAGGCAGGACUGAGUGCAGAGGGGUAUUGCUCUAUCUGAAAGAUGAUGUUCUGGCAAUUAAAAUUCUUUCCUAGUGGGAGAUUUGAUGUUCAGAGUUGGUGAGGAUUGUUUCGCAAUGACAAACAGCUUCUUGCGAUUGGUUUUCCUUUACGUGCAGCAGGGCAAAGUGUGGCACGUUAGAUGUGAGUCCUAACAAAUACAGCCCGCUGUUUCUCGUAGGUGUUUGCUCAGCUGUUUAAGACGCUACUUCUAAACAUCCAUGCCCAAGUGAAGUGUCUUGAGGGGCUGCUGACCAAAGAAGGCAAAUCAUCCUUUCUUGAACCUCUCCUGCUCACAGGCUGUACAAAACCAAAGAGGCAGCUGUGGAGCUGAUGUUUUUGUGGGUCAUUCUUUGGUUUUGCAUGCCUUGAGGAAGACUGGAAAAACUACGUCCCAUUCCCACAUUACUGAGUCUCCUGAGCCAUCAGGCUGUGUGGGUCCCUGUCUGCGGAGCCAUGACCCUUGUGCUCCGAGAGAGAUGUCAGACGCAGAGCACUUGAUGAAAUGCAGAGUGUGAAGGGGCACAGUGAACCUUAGCUCAGGGGUGGCUGGGGUGGGAUGGUUCCCAUCUCCCUGCCACUGCGGCUGCAUGAUCUCCCUCUUGUACAGUGUUUGGGGAAAGCCUUCCUCACCUGUGCGUGCUGCGGCUUCUCUGCUAGCAUGCAAACCACCCAUGCCACCCUUCAGUUUGUGUGGGGUUUUGGAUUGCGCCCCCAUCAGCCCCAGCUCCACCACCUCCCUGUUAAUUCAACCCCAUCCCUUCCCAAGCUCUGUGUUUGGAGGGAGGGUACUGAGUAAACACGGCUCAGUGCAAUAAACCCUCAGCUGUUGCCCUUCUGCGCCGAUGGUGUGAUAAGCCGGGUGCGGGUAGCUUAGCAACUGGAUAACGUGGGGACAGAGGCUGGCUCUGCGUGGGGCCACUGGCAGGGGGUCUCUGAUGGAAGUGGGAUAAGGGCUGAGCCAGGUUUCAGGACCAGGGGCUCAAAGCUCCUGCUUGUGUAUUGGUCCUAAAGAGAGGAAAGGCUGCAUAAAGCCAGAACUGUUGCUUGCCUGGAGCAGAGGGACAUGGACGCAGGGAGCUGGAUGCUGAGCCGUCCUCUCCCAGGCGAAGUGAGAAAUCGGGCUGCUUGGAAGAGACAUGGUUUAAUUGUUCUCUGAACCCUUUUCUGUGUCAUGACUACAUGGGAGGACGGGCUCCAGGGCUUUUUCCAGGCCCAGCUCCUGUCUGAGAGCCCAGCGCCAGCAGGAGGCAUGGCCAGGCUGAGCUUUGGCCAACGGACCAGACAAAAGGCAGCUCCUGCGGCUGUGUCUUGUGGUGGUGAACCCUCUACCUGGGCGCUCUACCUCAAGCCCUCCACACGCUCCCUUUCCUGUUCCUCUCCACCCCAGCACAUUGCCCAGCCUGCUGUUUCUGUUAAUGCUUUCAUGGGCACUUACUCCUUUCAAACACACUCUUCUCAUUAGGGAAAUUUAAUUAUUUCGUUUUCAUUUGCCGGCUUUCAACUCCCAAGGCAUUGUUUUUCUUAUUUUUAUUUUUUUUUUUGUUCCAGCAGGAAAUAAAGCAUAUGCAUUGUGCAACCGAGGCAAAAGAACCAGCGCGGGAAACUGGGAGAACUGGAGGCUUUCUGGAGGUGGAACAACCCUCUCUGCUCAAACUAACAUCUUCCCUUUCAAGGGUGGCUUGUCCCCUAGGAGGAGAUAAAAUGACCCCUUAAGUUGGACCCAUCUCCUCGCGGAGCAUGUUGCAGACAGACGCGAAGAAGUCUUGCAACAGGUCAAAGCAGCAGCCUGUCAGGAAAACAGAUAUGACUUGGGAAUAGAGAAACUUUCUCUUCCUGCAGAUGCACUGCACUCGCCAGCCAGAUUUUCAAAAGAGCCCAGUUUGCUGACAUAAAUGGGGUUGCUGAUGUGCCGAAGGAGAAGGAAGUGCCGGAGAACAUAUUCCUAACUGGGUCCAAGUCUUUCCCAUUUUAUCUUUCCCUUCCAUAUGUUUCCUCUGUAAUGAGAGGAAUUAUUUAUCAUUAAAGUGAUAUAUAAUUUAAAAAUUAAAGUUAAAAUUAAUGAAUGCUUAAAUUAAUUUACUGACAAAAAUAAAUGUCUGUCCUUCAGAUUCCAUAAUUUUAAUUGGAGUGGGUUACAGCUUAAUUAACAUGUAUUGACUGUAGUCCUGGUCGCGUCUAUAGGUGGGUGGACUGUGUAGCAAUGCUGAGAGAAAUCCUCCUUGCAGAUGAAGGUGCGUUAAGAUUUACUGAUAAUGUUUUGAAUAAUUGUGUUAUGAAGAGACAGAAAAGUCUUUGGUCUCAAGCUGUUUUCUCCUGAAAGCUUAAGACAAAAUAUGUUGAUUAAAAUUGGGGCUAAGAAUUGGCACGGCUACUUUAUAGAUGGGAAGAGAAUUCUGCUCCAAACAUAUUAAUUAUCUGAAUCAUUAAUUAGAUGCAUGAAGAAUACAGAAAAUUGGAAGGAAUUUGGAGCAAAUAAAGAAGUUGAUGCAACUGGAAAUUUUUGGGAAAAAAAGGCAAUUGGCACUUGGCUGAACACUGGCGAUGCCCCUGGACUUUGCACCACGGCAGGACCCAGCGAUGAGUUGCAGCUCCCUCCCCUUUUCCCUCCAUUGGUUUCCAUGUCUGUGCUGGGCUCUGAGAGCUCCUGAGGGUGGCAUGAGCUGGAGGUUAGCCAAAGUCAGCCUUUGGCAGGGCCGUUCGUAGGAUGGUGAGCCAGCAUAGCUCAGGGCCGACUGCUGGCAAUCGACUCUUGGAUGUGUGCCUUCAGCACUGUGCUGUCUGCAAGGGAGAAACGCUGUGCUUUACUUUGCAUGUGGCUUAAGGAGAUGGGUGGGCACGAGAGAUGCCUGGAGGUAGUUUGGCUGGUUUAAAAAAACCAAGAAGGUGAAGCUGGCCAGAGUUAAAUAAAAUAAUUACUUAAUUGGGGGGACUGCUGUUCCCCUGCAACGUUGAUCCCCAGAAGUGCCAGGAUUAGCAAGUGGCCGAACGCAUCAGGAGGUGACCUUGAUGAGCUGUAAGAUCCCUCUUAACGGGUCUGGACUGCAUGGGGAAGCAGGCGGCAUGCCCAUGAUUCAGGUUUUAUAACAGUCACUGCAAGACCUGGUUGACGAGUCUCCACUCAAGAGGUGAAGCAUCCUGACUCUUUUUUUCUUGCUUUGGAUAGCCGCCACUGGUUUUGCUCUGGGGAAGAGAAGGAGAGCGCUGGGUACGGUGGCUACAUUUGAAGAUGUGGUUCAGGCUAUGCCCCUUCUCUCCAAGGCGUAGCUUAAACUUGGCUUUCAGCUCAGCAUGAUGUGAUCAGAGAUGACAUUGCAUCGUUCUUUGGACAGGCACUUCUCUCCUGGAUGAAUAUAAAUUGGAAGAUCCCUGAUCUGUGGAGAAAAAUCUGCUUGGCCUGGUUUGACUUGUGCCAAAGCUGAGCCUGUCUUCAAGACAGAGCUGCCACCUCCCCACCUUCUGUCACUGUCGUCUAAAUGAAUUUACAAGGAAAAGAAAACAGUUCUCGCUAAUGUUCUCACACAAACGAAACAUAUAGCCAGAGAGACAAAAAGAAAAUAAUUGAUUGUGAAAGCAAACUCCCUCUGAGACAGUCUGAGCAUUAUCAGGAACUGCCUGGGAGAGGAACUGGGGGGAAAGAGAGAGGGAAGGAGGAGAACAGAGCUGACUGGAACAACAAAUGUAGCAUUUGUGAUAAUUAUCCACAUUUUAAUCCCCAUUUCCAACCAAGCAUUCACUUCCUUUAAUUAGUUCUUGAUUAGAAGGAGAUUAUCUAAUAAAUUGUACAAAUAAAGAGUAGGUUAUUUUUGCAGUGUUCCUGCACACAAAGUUCUGAAUGGAUGGGGACUCAGGGACGGGGUUUGAGACGGGCGAGAGCACGGAAAACCUUGCUUUCCAUUUCCCUUGUUCCCUUGCCUGCAAAUAUUGGCCGUCGCUGGCAUUAGCAAUGCGGCCAGUGAAGUAAAUCCGUAAUUAAACUGAAUUAGCAUGUACUUGGAAGUUUUACAUGCACAGACACAAAGAAGGUUCCUGCUUGGAGCAUUUCCAGUAUAAUUUGCAGGG
Cuculus canorus (common cuckoo) is the source of this 5195-nucleotide long non-coding RNA. RefSeq lists it as uncharacterized. The record is from RefSeq and is a predicted model, not a curated record. The transcript is spliced from 10 exons. Lineage: Eukaryota; Metazoa; Chordata; Aves; Cuculiformes; Cuculidae.